This 1216-nucleotide long non-coding RNA is filed under the name Malassezia sympodialis ATCC 42132. The record is from RNAcentral. Lineage: Eukaryota; Fungi; Basidiomycota; Malasseziomycetes; Malasseziales; Malasseziaceae.
GCGCGUCCAUCUUGGCGCUGCGCGCACCAAACUGGAUAGCCCGUUUGGGCAGCGCGGCCGCAUACGAGAGACCGCGCUGAUGCGCUAGCUGACGUAGGAGUUUCUUGUCGCCCAGCGCAUCGGCCAUGUCCGCUUUGGCCUGCACCGGCAGCGCCGCGAGAAACGCCCGUACGGAUCGGGCGAGAUAGGGGUAUCGUGCCUCGCGCGAAUGCGCACUCAGCACGCGGUCGUCGCGCCCGAGAUUGCGCGUCGGGAGGCGAUCGAGAUCCAGCUGCAGCUCGGCCGUGAGCGCCUCGUCGCCGCCACGCCGCCACGCCUGCCGGUGGCGCGCGUAGCCACCGAGGAGCUCGUCGGCGCCGAGCCCAGAGAGAAGGACGCGCGCUGGCGAGCGGUAAGGACGGCCAUCGACCUGCCCCUCGCCUCGUGCAGCAAAGUAGAGUGCGCACGCAAUGCUCAGGUCCAUCACGGUCGCAGAGGGGUGCAUGAGUGCCUGGACCGCCGGUGUGUGCGCUUCGUACUCGCUGUACGGCACAUUGACCUCGACCAUGUUCCAUGUGCGCGUUGGAUAAAGCCGGCGCAGGUCCUCAGCGCUUUUCCGCGCGGCCACACGGUCCGGCACCGCGUACAUGUCGUGUGGAAAGGUGCCCGGCUCGGCUUGCGCGCCGGACGCCCAGGCGGCCGCUAUCGAGCGGGGAUUCUCGAACGCGACAUUGAGCAGGUCGAUGGGGGACUCGGGCGGCAGGUGCUCCGCCACCAGCGCGGCCAGGACCGUGCAGUCCAGGCCACCCGAGAAGAGCAAUGCCACAGGGGCAGCCCGCGGCGUGUCGCGGAGCGCUUGGACGCGUAAGCGCACACUUUCGCUGAGCACCUGCUCGAGGAGGGGAAGGGCCUGGUCCACAGUGCACUCGAGACUGGGAGGGGCCAGCUCGAGGCGGCGCGCAUAGGGCGAGCAUCGCUCGAGGGGCACAGGAUCUUUGUUCGCGCGCAGCGACAGGCGCCACAGCGACGUGCAGGGCACCUCGGUCCAUGGCACAUGUGCCUGCACACUCUCGACGCUCGCGGCCGACGCGAGCAAAUGCGCGUUCGCAGGCUGAGCAUACAGCAGUGACCGCCGUCCGAGCGGGUCGCGGCCAUAGUACAGGGUAUCAUUCCGACGCUGCGUUAGCCGAGCCACGUACAUCAAGCAGCACAAAGGCAUAGGGGCCGUCCAUAUGCG